GUGCCAGCAGCCGCGGUAAGACAGAGGUGCCGAGCGUUAGGCGGAAUCACUGGGCUUAAAGCGUGUGUAGGCGGGUCGUUAAGUGUCUUGUGAAAUCCCACCGCUCAACGGUGGAACUGCUGGGCAUACUGGCGAUCUUGAGCCACCUAGGGGCAGACGGAACAAGCGGUGGAGCGGUGAAAUGCGUAGAUAUCGCUUGGAACGCCGACGGUGAAAACAGUCUGCUGGGGGUGUGCUGACGCUGAGACACGAAAGCCAGGGGAGCGAACGGGAUUAGAUACCCCCGUAGUCC
Molecule: ribosomal RNA, 292 nt
Filed under: uncultured bacterium
Lineage: Bacteria
Description: partial 16S ribosomal RNA
Rfam family: Bacterial small subunit ribosomal RNA
Source: RNAcentral